Molecule: ribosomal RNA, 460 nt
Filed under: uncultured bacterium
Lineage: Bacteria
Description: partial 16S ribosomal RNA
Rfam family: Bacterial small subunit ribosomal RNA
Source: RNAcentral
CCUACGGGAGACAGCAGUGAGGAAUAUUGGUCAAUGGACGAGAGUCUGAACCAGCCAAGUCGCGUGAAGGAUGACUGCCCUAUGGGUUGUAAACUUCUUUUAUCUGGGAAUAAAAUGUUCCACGUGUGGGGUUUUGUAUGUACCCUAUGAAUAAGGAUCGGCUAACUCCGUGCCAGCAGCCGCGGUAAUACGGAGGGUCCGAGCGUUAUCCGGAUUUAUUGGGUUUAAAGGGAGCGUAGGUGGAUUGGUAAGGCAGGUGUGAAAGUUUGCGGCUCAACCGUAAAACUGCAGUUGAAACUGGCAGUCUUGAGUACAGGAGAGGUGGGCGGAAUGCGUGGUGUAGCGGUGAAAUGCAUAGAUAUCACGCAGAACUCUGAUUGCGAAGGCAGCUCACUGGACUGCAACUGACACUGAGGCUCGAAAGUGUGGGUAUCAAACAGGAUUAGAUACCCUUGUAGUC